GGUAACACAGAGAGCUUAACUCUCGGGUGACGAGCGGCGGACGGGUGAGUAAUGUCUGGGAAACUGCCUGAUGGAGGGGGAUAACUACUGGAAACGGUAGCUAAUACCGCAUAACGUCGCAAGACCAAAGUGGGGGACCUUCGGGCCUCAUGCCAUCAGAUGUGCCCAGAUGGGAUUAGCUAGUAGGUGGGGUAAUGGCUCACCUAGGCGACGAUCCCUAGCUGGUCUGAGAGGAUGACCAGCCACACUGGAACUGAGACACGGUCCAGACUCCUACGGGAGGCAGCAGUGGGGAAUAUUGCACAAUGGGCGCAAGCCUGAUGCAGCCAUGCCGCGUGUAUGAAGAAGGCCUUCGGGUUGUAAAGUACUUUCAGCGAGGAGGAAGGCAUUAAGGUUAAUAACCUUGGCGAUUGACGUUACUCGCAGAAGAAGCACCGGCUAACUCCGUGCCAGCAGCCGCGGUAAUACGGAGGGUGCAAGCGUUAAUCGGAAUUACUGGGCGUAAAGCGCACGCAGGCGGUCUGUCAAGUCGGAUGUGAAAUCCCCGGGCUCAACCUGGGAACUGCAUUCGAAACUGGCAGGCUAGAGUCUUGUAGAGGGGGGUAGAAUUCCAGGUGUAGCGGUGAAAUGCGUAGAGAUCUGGAGGAAUACCGGUGGCG
This 659-nucleotide ribosomal RNA is filed under the name Enterobacter sp. RNAcentral describes it as "bacterial SSU rRNA". It matches the Rfam family "Bacterial small subunit ribosomal RNA", at positions 68 to 717 of the family's 1533-position model. Lineage: Bacteria; Pseudomonadati; Pseudomonadota; Gammaproteobacteria; Enterobacterales; Enterobacteriaceae. The record is from RNAcentral.